Molecule: ribosomal RNA, 482 nt
Filed under: uncultured bacterium
Lineage: Bacteria
Description: partial 16S ribosomal RNA
Rfam family: Bacterial small subunit ribosomal RNA
Source: RNAcentral
AUUGAACGCUGGCGGCAUGCCUUACACAUGCAAGUCGAACGGUAACAGGUCUUCGGAUGCUGACGAGUGGCGAACGGGUGAGUAAUACAUCGGAACGUGCCCAGACGUGGGGGAUAACGAGGCGAAAGCUUUGCUAAUACCGCAUACGAUCUAAGGAUGAAAGCAGGGGACCGCAAGGCCUUGCGCGUUUGGAGCGGCCGAUGGCAGAUUAGGUAGUUGGUGGGAUAAAAGCUUACCAAGCCGACGAUCUGUAGCUGGUCUGAGAGGACGACCAGCCACACUGGGACUGAGACACGGCCCAGACUCCUACGGGAGGCAGCAGUGGGGAAUUUUGGACAAUGGGCGAAAGCCUGAUUCAGCAAUGCCGCGUGCAGGAUGAAGGCCUUCGGGUUGUAAACUGCUUUUGUACGGAACGAAAAGGCUCUGGCUAAUACCUGGGGCACAUGACGGUACCGUAAGAAUAAGCACCGGCUAACUACGUG